GGUGGACACCAGGGGCAGCCCUGCGCUGGUCCUGCGGGGCGCGCUUCCGGCCGCGCAGGCGCAGAAGGCCGCGUGCGGGGCCGCUUGAUGGGGCCGCAGAAAAGAAAAAAGAUCCUACUCGCUGUGAAAAAUGGAUUGGAAAAGAGAAAGCAGUGGGAGAGUGUGUAGGAAAGUGUUGCAGAAGCCCAGAAUAAAGUUCACUGGUCACCGACCUCAGGCCUAAGUUGAGACCCUCUUGGUCACUUUAAAUGCCGUAGAGGAGAGGCGGCAGUAGUUUUAUCCAUUUCUUCAAGGUCACCUAAGAAUCAGGUGUUGGUGGAAGAAGCUCAGGAGGGUGUGAGGCCUGAGUGGUGAAAGUCGUCGUUGUGUCCAUGGCAGCCAAGGGGGAGAGGGCCAGAGAGAAAGAUGCGGGCCCGGAAUCUCUCUGAGGAAGAGUGCCUUCAAACCAGCUCACAGGGCUGGCCCUGACUGACCUGGGAGUGGAUGGAGACCUGAGCUGGGAGAAGGAAAGCCCCCCUGGAGGGAGCUCGAGGAGGACGACACCAUGGAGACGAGACCCCAGGAAGGCAGGAAGGGCCCCCCUCGCAGGGACGUGCCCCCGGUGGUGGGGCUGCUGCUCUCCAUGGCCCUCAUGAAUGCCCUCCUCUACCUCUGCCUCGACUGGCUCUUCAUCUUGCCCCCGCGCUCUGUGGGAGAGCCCAGGCACUGUCCCCAUGGCCACUUCAGGAUGGGACAGAUGAGCAACUGCUCCCCGUGGCUGUCCUGUGAGCAGCUGAGGACGGAAGUGAGGCAGAUGAAGCGAGUUGGCGAAGGAGCCGUGAAGAGGGUAUUCCUGUCUGAGUGGAAGGAACGCAAGGUGGCUCUCUCUCGGCUCACCAGGUUGGAGAUGAAAGACGACUUCCUGCAUGGACUGCGGAUGCUGAAGUCGCUGCAAAGCAAGCAUGUGGUCACGCUGCUUGGCUUUUGUGAGGAUGACAGCACCAUCCUCACCGAGUAUCACCCCUUGGGCUCCCUGAGCAACCUGGAGGAGGCUCUGAGCCUCCCCAGAUACCAGAGCAUCAACACGUGGCAGCACAGGCUGCAGCUGGCCCUGGACUACGUGGGCAUCAUCAACUUCCUGCACAACAGCCCUCUGGGCACGCUGGUCAUGUGCGACUCCAGCGACCUGCCCAAGACGCUGUCCCAGUACCUGCUGACCGCCAACUUCAGCAUCGUGCUGAAUGACCUGGACGCCCUGCCCCUGGUAAACCACAGCUCCGGAGCCCUGGUGAAGUGUGGCCACAGGGAGCUCCGAGGGGACUUCGUGGCCCCAGAGCAGCUGUGGCCCUAUGGAGAGGACAUGCCUUUUCAGGACGACCUCAUGCCCGUGUAUGAUGAGAAGAUUGACAUCUGGAAGAUUCCAGACGUCUCCAGUUUCCUUCUGGGGCACGUGGAAGGGAGCGACAUGGUCCGGUUCCACUUGUUUGACAUUCACAAGGCGUGUAAGAGCCAGACGCCUGCAGAGAGACCCACCGCUCAGAACAUUCUGGACACUUACCAGAACGUCUUGAAUCUGCUCAGAGACACCGCGACUUCUCAGACCAGAGAGAUGCUGUAGAAUCCAGUACAGUGAGAGCUGGGUCAAGGAAGGCUGGAGGAGUUACAGCGGCUCCGCUCUGACCUGGGGUCUGUGUUAUUCCCGUGUGCUGCUUCCUCUCUGGCCACGUGCUCGUGUGAGCUUCCCUCUCCUGGCCACCUGGGCGACGGCACACUCAGUCCUGUGUAAGCCUGGCUCCAGGCGGAGAUGCAGAGAAGCAGUGAACCUGGCUCGAUGCUAAAGGAAGUACACAGCAGGCCUAACAACAGAAUAUGUAAGCCUGUAAGAAAUGUGUAUAGGGAAGGUUUUUAAUGGCAGUGUGUGGAAGAAACACAAGUGAUUCUCCAAAGAGUAUUUUUUUCCUCAUUUUUUUAGACGGGGUGUUUGUGGUGUAUUUCACAUGAUACCAAGGAGGCCACCUCUACCGUUUUAAAUGAUCUGUGAGGCUCCUGUGCCUUUCACUUCCCAAUGAGCUAGCAUGCUCUUUGAAAUUUUGAAUGGAUAAGGAAUACUUUUUUAAACAUUUUAUUUUUAUUAUUAUGGGUUUUUGGUUCGUUUGUGUGUUUUUUGUUUUUUGUUUUUUUUGCCCCUACCUGUGGGCGUUCCCAGACCAAAAAUCCAACCUGAGCCACAGCAGCAACCCAAGCCAGUGUCCUGUCAGCACUGAAUCCCUAACCCACCAAGCCACAAGGAAUCCCCAGGAAUAUUUAAAAUAUCACUUAUGAAGGAAAUUAUAUCUGUGUUACUGCUUUGAAUGGUGCAGUAACCAUUUACCCUUCAGCUGGAUUUUCUGAGUCUAAAACUUAAUUAUUGUGACCAUUUUACAUCAACAGUGUCACUCAUUACUGGAAUAUGCCUCGCACUUCCAUUUGAGUCAAAUAAUUGAAUUCUUCAAAAAACUCUUUCAGGGAGUUCCCACUGUGGCUCAGCAGUAACAAACCCACCUAGUAUCCAUGAGGAUGAGGGUUUGAUUCGCUGGCUUGCCUCAGUGGGUUAAGGAUCUGGCAUUGCCAUAAGCUGUGGCGUAAGUCACAGAUGGUGCUCAGAUCCCAAGUUGCUGUGGCUGUGGCUUAGGCUGGCAACUGCAGCUCCAAUUCUACCCCUAGCCUGGGAACUUCCAUAUGCCGUGGGUAUGGCUCUCAAAAGACAAUAAUAAAAAAAAAAAGCUCUUUUGGGAGUUCUCUUGUGGCUCAGCAGGUUGAGGAUUCAGCAUUGUUACUGCUGUGGCUCUGGUUACAGCAGAGGCGCAAGUUUAAACCCUGGCCCAAGAACUCCCAACAUGCCAUGGGCACAGCAAAGAAACCAAAACAACUCUUGGUUCCUGUCAUCCUCGUUGCUUUGGUGUGUAUUCAUCAUCACCAGUAAAGGGGAUAAAGCUAAGCUCACACUGAAGGGCAAAGACCCUGUGCAGCCAACUGUUUUCCUGGACUCUGGCAGGCCUCACAGUCACUGGGACGGCGGGGAGCUGGCUCCAUGGUCUCUGACCCAGUCUCUCUGGGCGGAAUUUGAGACUUUGCAUUUCUCUCUGGUGAUGCUGAUGCUGCUGGUCUGGGGGCCACAUUUUGAGAACCACUGUCCUUCCCUGUCAGGGAGGGCAGCCUGGGCAGUAGGACAGGGGGUGGGGUAUUGUCAGCAUUACCCCUGUGCUCAUCCCUCAAGCACAGGGCUUAGGGCUGAGCAGAGAAUACGUUUGCCCAGAGUAUAUGAACUACUUUUUGCUGUAAGAACUCCACCAGAACCCACUAGGAUGGCUGUAACUAAAAGGAUGGACAAUAACAAGUGUUGACCAGGUUGUAAAGAAUUGGGACCCUUGUGCACCGCUGGUGGGAAUAUAAAAUGGUGCAGCCGCUUUGGGAAACAGUCCGGCAGUUCUUCAAAAAGUUAAAGAUCGAGUUACCAUGACCCAGCAAUUCCAGCCCACAGUACUUACCCAAGAGAAUUGGAAACACAUCCACAAAAGAAUUGUAUACGAAUGAAUGUUCAAAGCGACACUAUUUUAAUAGAUGAAAGAUGAAGAUAGCCCAAGUGUCCUUGAGCUGGUGAAUGGAUGAAGAAAACGUGGUCCAUCCAUACAAUGAGAUGUCAUUCAGCCAUAAACAGGAAUGAAGUACUGAUAGAUGCUCCAACAUGGAUGAACACGCUAAGUGAAAGAAGCUGCCAGAAAAAGACCACAUGUUGGAUGGUUCCAUCUGUUUGAAACAUGCAGAAUAGACAGACCCUGGGUAAUAGAAAGGGAAUUAGUGGUUUCCAGGGGCUGGCAGGAGUUUGGGGUUAAGCAUGGGGAGUGCUUGCUAAUGGGCACAGGGUUGUUGAAAAUGUUCUGAAACUAUAUGGUGGUGAUGGUUUCACAGCUCCAAAUGUACUAAAUAACACUGAAAAAGGGAAAUUUUGAUAUGUGAAUUAUAUCUCAAUAAAGCUGAAAGCCUCCCCACC
Molecule: long non-coding RNA, 4009 nt
Organism: Sus scrofa (pig)
Lineage: Eukaryota; Metazoa; Chordata; Mammalia; Artiodactyla; Suidae
Product: protein O-mannose kinase
Source: RefSeq, a predicted model, not a curated record